GGAAUGCGGCCGAAACAUACGGAGUACAAUCUUGGACGACUGGACCAGAAAUCGACUGUGUCCGAACUUGUGUACAAAUAUUUGAGAAAAGUAUCGCAUUCAAAUAGCAUUCAGAGGCAACGCAACAAUGCAUGCCAGAAAUUUCGUAAAUCUAAGAAAAGGAAAAGGAGCAUACAUUUGCGCGAUCGUAUGACCGCAGCGUACAACGAUGCAAGAAAUUACAUACGGGAUGCACUUUCAUUGGCCGUGAGUUCCGGAUAUCUAAUACCAGCAGACCAAACCGGAAGGAUCCUUCGACUUUCACCAUCUUUCGAACUAUAUGGCGGAUCAUCUUAAAUUGUUGUUCGACGAACGAUCCUUAACCGAAGAUGACCAAUUAUAAAUAUCUAUGAAAUUACAAAGAACGAAAAAUAAAUUGAGAAACAGA
Megalopta genalis is the source of this 427-nucleotide non-coding RNA. The record is from RefSeq and is a predicted model, not a curated record. NCBI's taxonomy places the organism in Eukaryota, Metazoa, Arthropoda, Insecta, Hymenoptera, Halictidae.